GACGAACGCUGGCGGCGUGCUUAACACAUGCAAGUCGAACGGAAAGGCCCCUUUGGGGGUACUCGAGUGGCGAACGGGUGAGUAACACGUGAGUAACCUGCCCUUGACUUCGGGAUAACUUCAGGAAACUGGGGCUAAUACCGGAUAGGAAUCCUUGCUGCAUGGUGGGGGUUGGAAAGCUUCGGCGGUUUUGGAUGGACUCGCGGCUUAUCAGCUUGUUGGUGGGGUAGUGGCUUACCAAGGCUUUGACGGGUAGCCGGCCUGAGAGGGCGACCGGCCACAUUGGGACUGAGAUACGGCCCAGACUCCUACGGGAGGCAGCAGUGGGGAAUAUUGCACAAUGGGCGGAAGCCUGAUGCAGCAACGCCGCGUGCGGGAUGACGGCCUUCGGGUUGUAAACCGCUUUCAGCAGGGGCGAAGCUUGUGGUGACGGUACCUGCAGAAGAAGCACCGGCUAACUACGUU
Molecule: ribosomal RNA, 465 nt
Filed under: uncultured bacterium
Lineage: Bacteria
Description: partial 16S ribosomal RNA
Rfam family: Bacterial small subunit ribosomal RNA
Source: RNAcentral